This 524-nucleotide ribosomal RNA is filed under the name uncultured bacterium. RNAcentral describes it as "partial 16S ribosomal RNA". It matches the Rfam family "Bacterial small subunit ribosomal RNA", at positions 28 to 523 of the family's 1533-position model. The record is from RNAcentral.
GACGAACGCUGGCGGCGUGCUUAACACAUGCAAGUCGAACGAGACGAUUGAAAGCUUGCUUUUAAAAGUCGAGUGGCAAACGGGUGAGUAACGCGUAGACAACCUGCCUUUGAGAUGGGGACAACAGUUCGAAAGGACUGCUAAUACCGAAUGUUGUAUAUUUUCCACAUGGAAGAUAUAUUAAAGAUGGCCUCUAUUUAUAAGCUAUCGCUCAAAGAUGGGUCUGCGUCUGAUUAGCUAGUUGGUGGGGUAACGGCCUACCAAGGCGACGAUCAGAAGCCGGUCUGAGAGGAUGAACGGCCACAUUGGGACUGAGACACGGCCCAGACUCCUACGGGAGGCAGCAGUGGGGAAUCUUCCACAAUGGACGAAAGUCUGAUGGAGCAACGCCGCGUGAGUGAAGAAGGGUUUCGGCUCGUAAAGCUCUGUUGUCGGGGACGAAUGUGCAGUAUUUGAAUAAAGUACUGCAAUGACGGUACCUGACGAGGAAGCCACGGCUAACUACGUGCCAGCAGCCGCCGUAA